This 1420-nucleotide ribosomal RNA is filed under the name Vibrio vulnificus. Its description in RNAcentral is "bacterial LSU rRNA". It matches the Rfam family "Bacterial large subunit ribosomal RNA", at positions 1547 to 2925 of the family's 2925-position model. Lineage: Bacteria; Pseudomonadati; Pseudomonadota; Gammaproteobacteria; Vibrionales; Vibrionaceae. The record is from RNAcentral.
CUCUUAAGGCUGAGACACGACGUCGAGCUACUACGGUAGUGAAGUCAUUGAUGCCAUGCUUCCAGGAAAAGCCUCUAAGCUUCAGAUUGUAAGGAAUCGUACCCCAAACCGACACAGGUGGUCGGGUAGAGAAUACCAAGGCGCUUGAGAGAACUCGGGUGAAGGAACUAGGCAAAAUGGUACCGUAACUUCGGGAGAAGGUACGCUCUUGAUGGUGAAGUCCCUUGCGGAUGGAGCUGACGAGAGUCGCAGAUACCAGGUGGCUGCAACUGUUUAUUAAAAACACAGCACUGUGCAAAAUCGUAAGAUGACGUAUACGGUGUGACGCCUGCCCGGUGCCGGAAGGUUAAUUGAUGGGGUUAGCGUAAGCGAAGCUCUUGAUCGAAGCCCCGGUAAACGGCGGCCGUAACUAUAACGGUCCUAAGGUAGCGAAAUUCCUUGUCGGGUAAGUUCCGACCUGCACGAAUGGCGUAAUGAUGGCCACGCUGUCUCCACCCGAGACUCAGUGAAAUUGAAAUCGCUGUGAAGAUGCAGUGUACCCGCGGCUAGACGGAAAGACCCCGUGAACCUUUACUACAGCUUGGCACUGAACAUUGAACCUACAUGUGUAGGAUAGGUGGGAGGCUUUGAAGACGUGACGCCAGUUGCGUUGGAGCCGUCCUUGAAAUACCACCCUUGUAUGUUUGAUGUUCUAACGUUGGCCCCUAAUCGGGGUUGCGGACAGUGCCUGGUGGGUAGUUUGACUGGGGCGGUCUCCUCCCAAAGAGUAACGGAGGAGCACGAAGGUGGGCUAAUCACGGUUGGACAUCGUGAGGUUAGUGCAAUGGCAUAAGCCCGCUUAACUGCGAGAAUGACGGUUCGAGCAGGUGCGAAAGCAGGUCAUAGUGAUCCGGUGGUUCUGAAUGGAAGGGCCAUCGCUCAACGGAUAAAAGGUACUCCGGGGAUAACAGGCUGAUACCGCCCAAGAGUUCAUAUCGACGGCGGUGUUUGGCACCUCGAUGUCGGCUCAUCACAUCCUGGGGCUGAAGUCGGUCCCAAGGGUAUGGCUGUUCGCCAUUUAAAGUGGUACGCGAGCUGGGUUUAGAACGUCGUGAGACAGUUCGGUCCCUAUCUGCCGUGGGCGUUGGAAGAUUGAAGGGGGCUGCUCCUAGUACGAGAGGACCGGAGUGGACGAACCUCUGGUGUUCGGGUUGUGUCGCCAGACGCAUUGCCCGGUAGCUAAGUUCGGAAUCGAUAACCGCUGAAAGCAUCUAAGCGGGAAGCGAGCCCUGAGAUGAGUCUUCCCUGAUACUUUAAGUAUCCUGAAGGGUUGUUCGAGACUAGAACGUUGAUAGGCAGGGUGUGUAAGCGCUGUGAGGCGUUGAGCUAACCUGUACUAAUUGCCCGUGAGGCUUAACCAUACAACACCCAAAGGGUUUUG